AGAGUUUGAUCCUGGCUCAGGACGAACGCUGGCGGCGUGCCUAACACAUGCAAGUCGAGCGGGGGGAGUUCUUCGGAACGAACCUAGCGGCGGACGGGUGAGUAACACGUGGGUAACCCGCCUCAAAGUGGGGGAUAGCCUUCCGAAAGGGAGAUUAAUACCGCAUAACCCAUGGUUUCCGCAUGGAAGCCAUGGUAAAGAUUUAUCGCUUUGAGAUGGACCCGCGGCGCAUUAGCUAGUUGGUGAGGUAACGGCUCACCAAGGCCACGAUGCGUAGCCGACCUGAGAGGGUGAUCGGCCACAUUGGAACUGAGACACGGUCCAGACUCCUACGGGAGGCAGCAGUGGGGAAUAUUGCACAAUGGGCGAAAGCCUGAUGCAGCAACGCCGCGUGAGUGAUGAAGGUCUUCGGAUUGUAAAGCUCUGUCUUUUGGGACGAUAAUGACGGUACCAAAGGAGGAAGCCACGGCUAACUACGUGCCAGCAGCCGCGGUAAU
This 497-nucleotide ribosomal RNA is filed under the name uncultured bacterium. RNAcentral's name for it is "bacterial SSU rRNA". It matches the Rfam family "Bacterial small subunit ribosomal RNA", at positions 8 to 524 of the family's 1533-position model. The record is from RNAcentral.